Molecule: small nuclear RNA, 103 nt
Organism: Callorhinus ursinus (northern fur seal)
Lineage: Eukaryota; Metazoa; Chordata; Mammalia; Carnivora; Otariidae
Source: RefSeq, a predicted model, not a curated record
AUAUACUUAAAAAAAUAAUAAAAAAAAGAAAUGAUACAGAGAAGGCUAGCAUGAUCCUCUGUGCAAGGAUGACCUGUAAAUUCAUGAUGCAUUCCAUAUUAGG